This 770-nucleotide ribosomal RNA is filed under the name Xiphogramma fuscum. RNAcentral describes it as "SSU rRNA". It matches the Rfam family "Eukaryotic small subunit ribosomal RNA", at positions 477 to 1206 of the family's 1831-position model. The record is from RNAcentral. Lineage: Eukaryota; Metazoa; Arthropoda; Insecta; Hymenoptera; Trichogrammatidae.
UAACGAUACGGGACUCAUCCGAGGCCCCGUAAUCGGAAUGAGUACACUUUAAAUCCUUUAACGAGGACCCAUUGGAGGGCAAGUCUGGUGCCAGCAGCCGCGGUAAUUCCAGCUCCAAUAGCGUAUAUUAAAGUUGUUGCGGUUAAAAAGCUCGUAGUUGAAUCUGUGUGCCACGCUGUCGGUUCAUCGCUCGCGAUGUUUAACUGACAUGAUUGUGGGACGUCCUACCGGUGGGCUUAGCUCCUCACGGGGCGGUCCAGCUAAUAUCCCAUCGCGGUGCUCUUGAUCGAGUGUCGAGGUGGGCCGGUACGUUUACUUUGAACAAAUUAGAGUGCUCAAAGCAGGCUAUGUUUGCCUGAAUACUGCGUGCAUGGAAUAAUGGAAUAGGACCUCGGUUCUAUUUUGUUGGUUUUCGGAACCCCGAGGUAAUGAUUAAUAGGGACAGAUGGGGGCAUUCGUAUUGCGACGUUAGAGGUGAAAUUCUUGGAUCGUCGCAAGACGGACAGAAGCGAAAGCAUUUGCCAAAAAUGUUUUCAUUAAUCAAGAACGAAAGUUAGAGGUUCGAAGGCGAUCAGAUACCGCCCUAGUUCUAACCAUAAACGAUGCCAGCUAGCGAUCCGCCGAAGUUCCUCCGAUGACUCGGCGGGCAGCUUCCGGGAAACCAAAGCUUUUGGGUUCCGGGGGAAGUAUGGUUGCAAAGCUGAAACUUAAAGGAAUUGACGGAAGGGCACCACCAGGAGUGGAGCCUGCGGCUUAAUUUGACUCAACAC